Scophthalmus maximus (turbot) is the source of this 109-nucleotide ribosomal RNA. Lineage: Eukaryota; Metazoa; Chordata; Actinopteri; Pleuronectiformes; Scophthalmidae. The record is from Ensembl.
GCUUACGGCCACACCGCCUGGUUCACGCCGGAUCUCGGAAGCUAAGAUAGGUUGGGCCUGGUUAGUACUUGGAUGGGAGACCGCCUAGGAAUACCAGGUGCUGUAAGCC